Molecule: ribosomal RNA, 427 nt
Filed under: uncultured bacterium
Lineage: Bacteria
Description: bacterial SSU rRNA
Rfam family: Bacterial small subunit ribosomal RNA
Source: RNAcentral
UGGGGAAUAUUGGACAAUGGGCGAAAGCCUGAUCCAGCCAUGCCGAGUGUGUGAAGAAGGUCUUCGGAUUGUAAAGCUCUUUAAGUUGGGUGGAAGAGCAUUAACCCAAUACGUUGGUGUCUUGACGCUACCGACAGAAUAAGCACCGGCUAACUCUGUGCCCGCAGCCGCGGUAAUACCGAGGGUGCAAGCGUUAAUCGGAAUUACUGGGCGUAAAGCGCGCGUAGGUGGUUAGUUAAGUUGGAUGUGAAAUCCCCGGGCUCAACCUGGGAACUGCAUUCAAAACUGGCUGACUAGAGUAUGGUAGAGGGUGGUGGAAUUUCCUGUGUAGCGGUGAAAUGCGUAGAUAUAGGAAGGAACACCAGUGGCGAAGGCGACCACCUGGACUGAUACUGACACUGAGGUGCGAAAGCGUGGGGAGCAAACA